This 2838-nucleotide ribosomal RNA is filed under the name Casuarius casuarius (southern cassowary). RNAcentral describes it as "eukaryotic LSU rRNA". Lineage: Eukaryota; Metazoa; Chordata; Aves; Casuariiformes; Casuariidae. The record is from RNAcentral.
CCGCCUUGUGGUGGGGCACAGGAAACGUGGUGUACAGAAGCCCCCAUCCCCGGCGCCACUCUCAGGGGGCCAAAGUCCUUCUGAUUGAGGACCAGCCCGCGGAUGGUGAGAAGCCGGUAGUGGCACGCCAGGACUGGGGCUUCUCGGAGUCGGGUUGCUUGGGAAUGCAGCCCAAAGCAGGUGGUAAACUCCAUCUAAGGCUAAAUACCGGCACGAGACCGAUAGUCAACAAGUACCAUAAGAGAAAGUUGAAAAGGACUUUGAAGAGAGAGUUCAAGAGAGCGUGAAACCGUUAAGAGGUAAACGGGUGGGGUCACUCGUCCUGCCGGAGGAUUCAACCCGGCGGGCUCGGUCGGCCAGCUCAGGUGUUGGCGGAUCUCCGCCUCCACCUCACCUCCCACCCCUYGUGGGGGCGGGCUGGGGACCGCUGCCCAGCCAGCCCCUGGUCCCCAUCAGGCACUGGUGGUGGUCCCCCGUGGCGGUGCACCGCGACCAGCUCCGGGUCGGCUGGGAAGGCCCGGUGGGCAGGUGGCUCGCUGCUGUACGGCGGUGAGUGUUAUAGCCCCUGAGCAGCAGCUCUCGCCGAAUCCCAGGGCCGAGGGAGAGGACCGCCACCACGCCUUCCCCCGUGGCAGCUUCCCAGAUGCUGUUGUUGGCAGCGCUACUGCUUUUCUCCCCACUCCUGCUCGCGGCUGAGCUGGGAUCCCAAGGCGGAGGCAGAGCCGAGGGCACACCACCGGCCCGUCUCGCCCGCUCCGUCGGGGAGGUGGAGCAUGAGCGUCCGUGCUAGGACCCGAAAGAUGGUGAACUAUGCCUGGGCAGGGCGAAGCCAGAGGAAACUCUGGUGGAGGUCCGUAGUGGUCCUGAUGUGCAAAUCGGUCACCCGACCCGGGUAUAGGGGCGAAAGACUAAUCGAACCAUCUAGUAGCUGGUUCCYUCCGAAGUUUCCCUCAGGAUAGCUGGCACUCGCGGGCGGCAGUUUUACCCAGUAAAGUGAAGGAUUAGAGGUCUUGGGGCCGAAAUGAUCUCAAGCUCUUCUCAAACUUCCAAUGGGUAAGACGCCCGGCUCGCUGGCGUGGAGCCGGGCCGUGGAAUGCGAGUGUUUAGUGGGCCACUUUUGGGAAGCAGAACUGGUGCUGCAGGUUGAAUCCAAGGCACCUGAUGCUGACGCUCAUCAGACCCCAGAAAAGGUGUUGGUUGAUAUAGACAGCAGGACGGUGGCCAUGGAAGUCGGAACCCACUAAGGAGUGUGUAACAACUCACCUGCCRAAUCAACUAGCCCUGAAAGUGGAUGGCGCUGGAGCAUCGAGCCCAUACCCCGCCAUCACCGGUGAUGCGAAGCCGCGUGGGCUACGCCACGGUGAGUAGGAGGGCUGCUGCGGUGCGCCCUGAAGCCUGGGGCAUGGGCCCRGGUGRAGCCGCCACAGGUGCAGAUCUUGGUAGUAGUAGCAAAUAUUCAAACGAGAGCUUUGAAGGCCCAAGUGGAGCAGGGUUCCAUGUGAACAGCAGUUGAACAUGGGUCAGUCGGUCCUAAGCGAUAGGCGAGCGCCGUUCCGAAGGGACGGGCGAUGGCCUCCAUUGCCCUCAGCCGAUCGAAAGGGAGUCGGGUUCAGGUGCCCGAAUCCGGAGUGGCGGAGAUGGGCGCCGUGAGGCGUCCAGUGCGGUAACACAACCGAUCCCGGAGAAGCCGGUGGGAGCCCCAGGGAGAGUUCUCUUUUCUUUGUGAAGGGCCGGGCGCCUUGUAAUGGGUUCGCCCCGAGAGAGGGGCCCGUACCUUGGAAAGCGUCAUGGUUCCGGCGGCGUCCGGUGAGCUCUCGCUGGCCCGUGAAAAUCUGGGGGAGAAGGUGUAAAUCUCGCACUGGGACGUACUCAUAUCCGCAGCAGGUCUCCAAGGUGAACAGCCUCUGGCAUGUUGGAACAAUGUAGGUAAGGGAAGUCGGCAAGCCGGAUCCGUAACUUCGGGAUAAGGAUUGGCUCUAAGGGCUGGGUCAGUCGGGCUGGGGCGCAAAGCAGGGCUGGACAUGUGCCGCAGCUGGAUGAGGCACCGUGCGACCCACCAGUCCCCCCCGCCCCCCGGGCGGGCAGGGGUGGGCACGGGGCAGUGGUGGCGACUCUGGACGCGCCCCGGGCCCUUCCCAUGGAUCGCCCCAGCUGCAGUGAGCGCCGCCCGUCCCCUCCCUCCCUCCUCCCCGAGCCACAGCAGCUGCCAUCACCCCUCCACACACCCGUCCGCGGGGGCUGGGGGUGCCCCAGUGCAUACACAGCUGCCGGCGACGGGGGGGAGCUGGUGUCCCCAGGCCGGCGCCCCGCCUCGGCCGACGCCUAGCAGCCGACUUAGAACUGGUGUGGACCAGGGGAAUCCGACCGUUUAAUUAAAGCAAAGCAUUGCAAAGGCCCAUGGUGGGUGUUGACGCGAUGUGAUUUCUGCCCAGUGCUCUGAAUGUCAAAGUGAAGACAUUCAAUGAAGCGCGGGUAAACGGCGGGAGUAACUAUGACUCUUUUAAGACGGGGCCAUAGUUACUAGCUGGGCUUAGCUGCAGAGGCUACACCUCCUCGUGGUCCCGCUGGAUGCCCAUUUCUGGGUAACUAAGUUUGCCUCUGCCCCAGUGUACGUGGAAUUAUAGUUACUUCCUCCCUAUCGACUGGCUUCACCGACCACUCGAUAGUAUUCAAGGUGAAACUAAAUUGAUCCAACCAUGAAUUUUUUCGGUAUUCGUGUGUGCAAAGCCCUUUGCCUAAGGGCUGACUGAAGGCACACCAGUUGAACUUGGGGGCUGGUUCUYCUGGUUAUAUCCCAACCCCCCACAGACACGAUUAACAACCUAGUAAAAUCAGGGG